RNAcentral lists this ribosomal RNA (466 nucleotides) under uncultured bacterium. RNAcentral describes it as "bacterial SSU rRNA". It matches the Rfam family "Bacterial small subunit ribosomal RNA", at positions 330 to 792 of the family's 1533-position model. The record is from RNAcentral.
GCCAGACUCCUACGGGAGGCAGUAGUGAGGAAUAUUGGUCAAUGGGCGGAAGCCUGAACCAGCCAAGUCGCGUGAGGGAAGAAGGCCCUGCGGGUCGCAGACCUCUUUGGACGGGGAGCAAGGCCGCCGACGUGUCGGCGGAAGGAGAGUACCCGUAGAACAAGCAUCGGCUAACUACGUGCCAGCAGCCGCGGUAAUACGUAGGUGGCAAGCGUUAUCCGGAUUUACUGGGUGUAAAGGGCGUGUAGGCGGGAAAGCAAGUCAGAUGUGAAAACCAUGGGCUCAACCUGUGGCCUGCAUUUGAAACUGUUUUUCUUGAGUACUGGAGAGGCAGACGGAAUUCCUAGUGUAGCGGUGAAAUGCGUAGAUAUUAGGAGGAGCACCAGUGGCGAAGGCGGUCUGCUGGACAGCAACUGACGCUGAGGCGCGAAAGCGUGGGGAGCAAACAGGAUUAGAUACCCUUGUA